GGAUGUUGAAAGAAUGAAAAAGUAUAUAUGUUUUAUCUUUUUUUUAGGAGAAAUUAUUAACCAUGUAGUGAUAAACUUUUCAAACUCAUGGAUUUGGAUCUUUCAAGUGAGGAAUAGGCAAAAGUACAUAGCAAAUGAGAAAAGACAAAUGUGAAAAUACUCCCUUCUGUAUUCUUUGGGAUGAAACACAUUGGCUUGAUGGAAAGGUAGUUACUUGCUGAAGAAAAAGGGGGCACAAAAUGGGAGAGGAACGAGUUUGGCAACACUAAUAUUUUUGUUUAAGAAGAUGAAGAUGAGGGACGAAAUAAACCGUAAAAGAAAAGUCACAUCAAUAGAUCCACAUUAGCUUACGCGCUCAGACGUGGGUGAAUAACACUACAUUUGCCAGGUCAGCAUUUUGUGUCCAAUAAAUAUACUUUGAUGGUAGUUUUAGUGUCUAAUAGGAAAUAUCCUCAGUUGAGGUGUCUAAAUGAACAAUCAUGACAAAUUAAGGUGGUUGUUCAUGUAUUUGGCCAAAAAAUUAGUUCAAAAUAAAAGGUAUCUAUUGGGUCGGGCUGACCCGCUAACAACUCGGUUCAACCCGAGUCAGUCCGGUCCAGUCCGUUAUUGUUCCUAAUUGUUCGGGUUGGGACGGGUUGGACGGGGCUAGUAACGUUAAACUUUUUUUAAAUGGGGAACCGAACCCGCUAUAACAUCUUAUGCCCUUAACGGGUUUUUACCGCGCCACAGCCCGGUUCAACCCGUUAAUCCAUCCUUAAUUUUUUUAUUAUUUUUUUAAAUCUGACCGUUGUCAACGGUCAAAUACCAAAAAACGACCGUUGGCAACAGCCAUUUCUGCCAAAAACAGCAUUUUUGUAGUUUUAUUUAUAUUUUAGCCUCCACCCCUUAUAAUUUGUAAAUUGCAAUUGUAUCCUUUUAAAACUAUGAAUAUCUCAUUUCUUCUUCAUUAUUCCUCACAAUUCAAUUCAUUUUCUCUCUAAUUCUCUCUUAAUUCUCUUGAUAAUAUUCUUAAUUGCUCAUUAUUUUAAGCUUUCAAGUUUCAACUUUCAAGUUUCAUUACAAAAGUAUUAGUAUCAUAAAUUCCUAAUUCAAUUAUUCAAGUGAAGUGUGGCAUCAAUUAUCAAGUAUCAACUAUCACGUUAUCAAUUGAAUUUUGAGUUUCUACUUUCUAGUUUCUAUAUCAAAUUUAGUGCGGCAUUCGAAAUUUCGGUACACUCGUUCCAUCCCUUUCUCUUUAUUAUUUAGAAUUAUUAUUUGAAUUUUUUAUUUUAAAUUACAUAAUGAAUUUACUUAGGCGGCCAAAAAAGCUUGCACUAGUAAAGGUGGUAAUAUGAAAAAUUUCAAAAGAGUAAGAGGUGGUUCUUCUAGUAGUGCAACACAUGUUUCUGAAAGUUCACUCGAAAAUGUAAAUGUAGAUUAUGAGCUACUUCAAGAAAAUUAUGGUAUUGAUGAUGAUUUUGAUGAUAUCUAAUCACCCGAUAAUUUGAAACACCGCCGCCUGCACCCGGUAAUACUAGUCAAAUAUUAGGGGUGGAAGUGCAAGUAAGCCCCAUUUGCCUAUUAAGAAGAAUCGAAGAUUAAGAAAUAAGUGUUGGAAUUUUUUUGAUAGACUAGAAAUUGAGAAAAAUUAUGUAAAAUGUAAAAUAUGUAAUGAAGUUUAUAAGCACGAGCCCGGUAAGAAUGGGGGAACGUGUCAACUUCGUAGGCACAUGGAAGAAAUUCAUCCUAUUGAUUGGGGAGUAGGCGAUGAAGUUGGGCAAUAAAAAUUUAACCCGAUCACUGGGGGUUAAUGGGUAAAUACGAUAUUUAAAAAGAUCGAGAAGAAUUAGCUAAAAUGAUUGUUUUAAGCUGUUUACCUUUUAGUUUUGCUUCUUCGCCAUAUCUUGUUACUUAUAUUCAAAGAAUUUAUAACCCUAUGUUUAAAGGUACUCCUAGAAGUACUUGUAGAUCUGAUAUCUUUAGGCUUUAUGGACAAUAUCAGACAUAUAUACGUUAUUUGUUUGCUAGUCUUUCUUGUAAAGUUUCUCUUACUUCUGAUAUUGAUCGUGUUGUAAAUGAAAAUGAUUAUUUAACUGUUACAUGUCAUUGGAUAGAUGAUAAUUUUUGUAUGCAAAAAUAUAUUAUUGCUUUUAAAUAUGAUGAAGAUCAAAGUCAUACUGGUGCAUUUAUAAGUAAUACUAUCCAUGAAGUUGCUUUAUUUUAUAAUCUUCCUAAAAAAAAUUAGUGUAUGUCAUUUGAUAAUACUUCUAACAACACUUCUGCUAUUACAUUACUAAAAUUGCAUCUACGCCCACCACUUCCUGAAAUAUUUCAUAUUAGAUGUGUGUGUUGUAUUUAUAGCUUGAUUGUGAAGACUGGCCUUGAAUUAUUUCACAAUGACAUCACUUUAGUUAGGAUAGUUGUUGCUGUAAUUCAAGGAAAUAAUAGAAGUGCUAGAUUAAAUGCAUUUCAGGAAAAAUGUGUACGCUAUGGACUAAAACCAAGACUCAUGCCUAAAGAAAUAGUUACUAGGUGGAAUUAUACUUAUUUAUUCCUAAGAUGUUGUUAUAAAUAUAGAAUGCCUAUAAUUGAAGUUGCUAAUUCUCAUUGCAUCGAUCCUAACCGUCUGUUAACAUCUAAAACUUGGGAUGUCAUUGAAGAUGUUGUAAAAUUUUUACAAAAAAUUUUAUGUGGCUACACUUGAGUUUUCUGAAGCUUAUUAUCCUACUAUUUAAAUGGUUUAGUUUACAUUGCUGAAAUUUCUCUUUUACUACAUAAGUUGACGGCAAAAGAGGGAUAUUCCGAUGUUGUUGAAAUCAUGCUAGAUAAGUUUAAAAAUUAUUUCUUCCCAAUUCCCCCUAUUUACCUAAUUAGUGCUAUUUAAACCCUACUAUCAAAAUGAUAAAGUGUCGCCAAUUAACCAGUGUUUUGUAUACUUAUAUGGAUAUUGGACCAAAUGAAACUCGUGAUAGUGAGACUUGUAUUUCUGAUAUGCACAAACAUUUACAAGUUUUGUAUAAUUAUUAUGCUAACAUUGUUGAUGCUUCUUCGGUUGUAGAUGGCAAAUAUUCCUUCAAGUAAUACUUCAAUAUCUGGAACAAAUUUG
RNAcentral lists this long non-coding RNA (3085 nucleotides) under Nicotiana benthamiana. RNAcentral describes it as "long non-coding RNA (NBEN_LNC024389)". The record is from RNAcentral. Lineage: Eukaryota; Viridiplantae; Streptophyta; Magnoliopsida; Solanales; Solanaceae.